This 397-nucleotide ribosomal RNA is filed under the name uncultured bacterium. RNAcentral describes it as "partial 16S ribosomal RNA". It matches the Rfam family "Bacterial small subunit ribosomal RNA", at positions 523 to 918 of the family's 1533-position model. The record is from RNAcentral.
AUACGUAGGUGCCAAGCGUUAUCCGGAUUUACUGGGCGUAAAGGGCGUGUAGGCGGUCUUGCAAGUCAGAAGUGAAAUUCCUGAGCUCAACUCGGGCGCUGCUUCUGAAACUGCAGGACUUGAGUGCUGGAGGGGAUAGCGGAAUUCCUAGUGGAGCGGUAAAAUGCGCAGAUAUUAGGAAGAACACCGGUGGCGAAGGCGGGUGUCUGGACAGUAACUGACGCUGAGGCGCUAAAGAGUGGGGAGCAAACAGGAUUAGAGACCAUGGUAGUCCACGCCGUAAGCGAUGAAUACUAGGUGUAGGGGGUAUCGACUCCCUCUGUGCCGCAGUUAACACAAUAAGUAUUCCGCCUGGGGAGUACGGCCGCAAGGUUGAAACUCAAAUGAAUUGACGGGG